RNAcentral lists this ribosomal RNA (505 nucleotides) under uncultured bacterium. RNAcentral's name for it is "partial 16S ribosomal RNA". It matches the Rfam family "Bacterial small subunit ribosomal RNA", at positions 28 to 507 of the family's 1533-position model. The record is from RNAcentral.
GACGAACGCUGGCGGCGUGCCUAAUACAUGCAAGUCGAACGCACAGUUUAUACCGUAGCUUGCUACACCAUAGACUGUGAGUUGCGAACGGGUGAGUAACGCGUAGGUAACCUGCCUGGUAGCGGGGGAUAACUAUUGGAAACGAUAGCUAAUACCGCAUAAUAUUUAUUAUUGCAUGAUAAUUAAUUGAAAGGUGCAAUUGCACCACUACCAGAUGGACCUGCGUUGUAUUAGCUAGUAGGUGAGGUAACGGCUCACCUAGGCGACGAUACAUAGCCGACCUGAGAGGGUGAUCGGCCACACUGGGACUGAGACACGGCCCAGACUCCUACGGGAGGCAGCAGUAGGGAAUCUUCGGCAAUGGACGAAAGUCUGACCGAGCAACGCCGCGUGAGUGAAGAAGGUUUUCGGAUCGUAAAGCUCGGUUGUAAGAGAAGAACGGGUGUGAGAGUGGAAAGUUCACACUGUGACGGUAUCUUACCAGAAAGGGACGGCUAACUACGUG